CCUACGGGAGGCAGCAGUGGGGAAUAUUGGACAAUGGGCGAAAGCCUGAUCCAGCAAUGCCGCGUGAGUGAUGAAGGCCUUCGGGUCGUAAAGCUCUUUUACCAGGGAUGAUAAUGACAGUACCUGGAGAAUAAGCUCCGGCUAACUCCGUGCCAGCAGCCGCGGUAAUACGGAGGGAGCUAGCGUUGUUCGGAAUUACUGGGCGUAAAGAGUACGUAGGCGGUUAUUCAAGUCAGAGGUGAAAGCCCGGGGCUCAACCCCGGAACUGCCUUUGAAACUAGAUAACUAGAGUCUUGGAGAGGUUAGUGGAAUUCCGAGUGUAGAGGUGAAAUUCGUAGAUAUUCGGAAGAACACCAGUGGCGAAGGCGACUAACUGGACAAGUACUGACGCUGAGGUACGAAAGCGUGGGGAGCAAACAGGAUUAGAUACCCUGGUAGUCCACGCCGUAAACGAUGAUAACUAGUUGUUCGGUCACUUGGUGACUGAGUGACGCAGCUAACGCAUUAAGUUAUCCGCCUGGGGAAUACGGUCGCAAGNUUAAAACUCAAAGGAAUUGACGGNUGAGAGUUGCGAGACGACGACGAGGAGAG
Molecule: ribosomal RNA, 591 nt
Filed under: uncultured bacterium
Lineage: Bacteria
Description: bacterial SSU rRNA
Rfam family: Bacterial small subunit ribosomal RNA
Source: RNAcentral